RNAcentral lists this ribosomal RNA (491 nucleotides) under uncultured bacterium. RNAcentral describes it as "partial 16S ribosomal RNA". It matches the Rfam family "Bacterial small subunit ribosomal RNA", at positions 29 to 506 of the family's 1533-position model. The record is from RNAcentral.
AGUGAACGCUGGCGGUAGGCCUAACACAUGCAAGUCGAACGGCAGCACAGUAAGAGCUUGCUCUUACGGGUGGCGAGUGGCGGACGGGUGAGGAAUACAUCGGAAUCUACUUUUUCGUGGGGGAUAACGUAGGGAAACUUACGCUAAUACCGCAUACGACCUACGGGUGAAAGCAGGGGAUCUUCGGACCUUGCGCGAUUGGAUGAGCCGAUGUCGGAUUAGCUAGUUGGCGGGGUAAAGGCCCACCAAGGCGACGAUCCGUAGCUGGUCUGAGAGGAUGAUCAGCCACACUGGAACUGAGACACGGUCCAGACUCCUACGGGAGGCAGCAGUGGGGAAUAUUGGACAAUGGGCGCAAGCCUGAUCCAGCCAUACCGCGUGGGUGAAGAAGGCCUUCGGGUUGUAAAGCCCUUUUGUUGGGAAAGAAAAGCAGCAGGUUAAUACCCCGCUGUUCUGACGGUACCCAAAGAAUAAGCACCGGCUAACUUCGU